AUGGGUCAUCCAUCUUCGUUGCCGGUUGAUGAGCAGCAAAAUGCAUCGAACCAUGGGAAUGGAUGCGGUGUUGGGAAGGUCCAUCGUGGCGACGGCGACGAAGAUGGACCUUCCCGGCAUCGCCGCCGCCGCGCGCUCAGCCGUCAGCUGUUCAAGCUCCGGGGCACCGUCUCCCCAGUAGACCUUUCUCCGCUCGAUGAAGUUUCUUGCAGGCCAGAUCCAUUUUCUGUGGAUUUCCUCUCUCAAUUUGUAUUUUUUUUCUUGGUUUGUGUCUCUGCUUGGUGUGGUGGUGGCGACGGCGAGCCACUAGUCUAG
RNAcentral lists this ribosomal RNA (315 nucleotides) under Triticum aestivum (bread wheat). Its description in RNAcentral is "partial small subunit ribosomal RNA". The record is from RNAcentral. Lineage: Eukaryota; Viridiplantae; Streptophyta; Magnoliopsida; Poales; Poaceae.